RNAcentral lists this transfer RNA (88 nucleotides) under Stegodyphus mimosarum. It matches the Rfam family "tRNA". From Rfam's summary of the family: Transfer RNA (tRNA) molecules are approximately 80 nucleotides in length. Their secondary structure includes four short double-helical elements and three loops (D, anti-codon, and T loops). Lineage: Eukaryota; Metazoa; Arthropoda; Arachnida; Araneae; Eresidae. The record is from Rfam by way of RNAcentral.
ACCUCGGUACCGCUGUAGGUAGCGCGUCAGUCUCAUAAUCGAGAAAGGAGAAAUCUGAAGGUUGUGAGUUCGACCCUCACCCGGAGCA